Molecule: long non-coding RNA, 348 nt
Filed under: Rattus norvegicus (Norway rat)
Lineage: Eukaryota; Metazoa; Chordata; Mammalia; Rodentia; Muridae
Description: long non-coding RNA NONRATT006561
Source: RNAcentral
CGGAGGCAGCGCGGCUCCGCGAGCUCCUCUCCACUUUCCCAUAGAGAGCCCCUGACUGGCCGCUGAGGGCGAGCCACACACACGCCCUCGCGCCGCGGCGAGCCCGCGAGGUCACUGUCAUAUGACAAAGGCUUUGCUGCAGUUCAUCUUCCUUCCUGUGUACCUCCAUUUACCUUCCAGGAAUCCUGCUGCAUCACAGAAGCUGGAAGUUCUGAUGUUCCACUGAAAUCACAAUGGGAAGUCUUGACUUGACUGGUCACAGUAAUGAAAGGCAGUAAUAGAAAUAAAGAUCAUUCAGCAGAAGGAGAAGGGGCCGGAAAACGACCAAAACGGAAGUGUCUUCAGUGG